AUACCNGGGUAGUNCCAGCNGUAAACGAUGUGCGUUAGGUGUAUCGGUGACCACGAGUCACCGAGGUGCCGAAGAGAAAUCGUGAAACGUACCGCCUGGGAAGUACGGUCGCAAGGCUGAAACUUAAAGGAAUNGGCGGGGGAGCACCACAACAGGUGGAGCCUGCGGUUUAAUCGGACUCAACGCCGGAAAUCUCACCAGAUAAGACAGCUGAAUGAUAGUCGGGCUGAAGACUCUACUUGACUAGCUGAGAGGAGGUGCAUGGCCGUCGUCAGUUCGUACUGUGAAGCAUCCCGUUAAGUCAGGCAACGAGCGAGACCCACGCCAACAGUUGCUAGCUCGUCCCCCGGGAUGGAGAGGACACUGUUGGGACCGCCUCUGCUAAAGAGGAGGAAGGAAUGGGCAACGGUAGGUCAGCAUGCCCCGAAUUAUCUGGGCUACACGCGGGCUACAAUGGGUGGGACAAUGGGUAUCGACACCGAAAGGUGAAGGCAAUCUCCUAAACCCAUCCUUAGUUCGGAUUGUGGGCUGCAACUCGCCCACAUGAAGCUGGAAUCUGUAGUAAUCGU
Molecule: ribosomal RNA, 569 nt
Filed under: uncultured Methanomicrobiales archaeon
Lineage: Archaea; Methanobacteriati; Methanobacteriota; Methanomicrobia; Methanomicrobiales
Description: bacterial SSU rRNA
Rfam family: Archaeal small subunit ribosomal RNA
Source: RNAcentral